This 235-nucleotide long non-coding RNA is filed under the name Dromaius novaehollandiae (emu). Its description in RNAcentral is "lncRNA (ENSDNVG00000007737.1)". The record is from RNAcentral. Lineage: Eukaryota; Metazoa; Chordata; Aves; Casuariiformes; Dromaiidae.
GAAAACUAGUUAAAGUUAGACUGAAAAUCAGAUAGAAUUAAGGACAACAGGGAAGUCUUACUGAAUUUCUUUCCUUGCAGUAAGGAGGUUUGCUGCAAUAGUAGCAACAGAGGAAACAUACAGCUCUUUCUUGCAUCUAGAGAAUACCUCAAGCACCAGUAAAAGCUCAGCCUGCGUUGUCUGCCCAGGAUACGUUGAGAAUGAGAAACUGGUUUGGACAGUGCCUGACUUUUGA